CAGUAGCCACGGUAAUACGGAGGGUGCAAGCGUUAAUCGGAAUUACUGGGCGUAAAGCGCACGCAGGCGGUCUGACAAGUCAGAUGUGAAAUCCCCGGGCUUAACCUGGGAACUGCAUUUGAAACUGUCAGGCUGGAGUCUUGUAGAGGGGGGUGGAAUUCCAGGUGUAGCGGUGAAAUGCGUAGAGAUCUGGAGGAAUACCGGUGGCGAAGGCGGCCCCCUGGACAAAGACUGACGCUCAGGUGCGAAAGCGUGGGGAGCAAACAGGAUUAGAUACCCCGGUAGUCCCUGUCUCUAUACA
This 301-nucleotide ribosomal RNA is filed under the name uncultured bacterium. Its description in RNAcentral is "partial 16S ribosomal RNA". It matches the Rfam family "Bacterial small subunit ribosomal RNA", at positions 509 to 808 of the family's 1533-position model. The record is from RNAcentral.